RNAcentral lists this ribosomal RNA (467 nucleotides) under uncultured bacterium. RNAcentral's name for it is "partial 16S ribosomal RNA". It matches the Rfam family "Bacterial small subunit ribosomal RNA", at positions 28 to 506 of the family's 1533-position model. The record is from RNAcentral.
GACGAACGCUGGCGGCGUGCUUAACACAUGCAAGUCGAACGGAAAGGCCCUGCUUUUGUGGGGUGCUCGAGUGGCGAACGGGUGAGUAACACGUGAGUAACCUGCCCUUGACUUUGGGAUAACUUCAGGAAACUGGGGCUAAUACCGGAUAGGAGCUCCUGCUGCAUGGUGGGGGUUGGAAAGUUUCGGCGGUUGGGGAUGGACUCGCGGCUUAUCAGCUUGUUGGUGGGGUAGUGGCUUACCAAGGCUUGGACGGGUAGCCGGCCUGAGAGGGUGACCGGCCACAUUGGGACUGAGAUACGGCCCAGACUCCUACGGGAGGCAGCAGUGGGGAAUAUUGCACAAUGGGCGGAAGCCGGAUGCAGCAACGCCGCGUGCGGGAUGACGGCCUUCGGGUUGUAAACCGCUUUCGCCUGUGACGAAGCGUGAGUGACGGUAAUGGGUAAAGAAGCACCGGCUAACUACGU